Molecule: long non-coding RNA, 2922 nt
Filed under: Olea europaea subsp. europaea
Lineage: Eukaryota; Viridiplantae; Streptophyta; Magnoliopsida; Lamiales; Oleaceae
Source: RNAcentral
CUCUUAUAAUAUUUUAUCAAUUAAAAACCUUCAUGAGAAUGUGUAAAUUCAAUGUUCCGAGAAUCUAUAGGAAGGCAUCGCUUCACUACUGCAGAUACAUGUAUAAUUGUACAAAGGAUCCUAACUUUCUGUUUAACCUAAUAUUCGAGAGUAAAGAUCCAUGUAUCAAUAACAAGAGAUAUCUAACAUCUCAAAAGUAAAUUGGAAACACAUGGGCCAAGCACUGAUAUGCAAACUCUUGAAAUACAGGCACAUCUUCAGCAGAUUCUUCAAAAUAAUUAGAUUUAUGAUUUUUUUUUCCCCUAUGGCGUCUCAAGAAAAAAGCUUUUAACUGAAAGCUUUUGAAAUGUUGCUGGCAUCUCGAAAACUUGCAAUAUUCAAGUGAUAAUCUUGUAGAAUGUUGCUCUUGAAGGUGACAAAUACGACUUAAUACUUUGAAUAGUUCUUUAGAUGUUGUAAGGCCAUUACAUGCAUCGUUAAGACGAUUCAUCGCUCCAACUAUGUGCCUACACGGUCUGCAGCCAUGAUAUUUCGUCUAAUCAUCCUGCAUUAGUCUACAAUUUGAUCAACAAUAUCCCUUGUGUAGCACAUCAAGCUCAGAAGCUGAUAAGUGUAUACUAUUACAAAUAUUCAAAGCUAACGGAAGAAAAAAAAUCCCAAAGUUCAUGGACUCUUGGCGUAAGAUAUGGUAAGCAAUAAACAAGAAAUUAACUUCAUUUUCAUCUUUAUUAAUUAAUACUUCCCAAUACUCUCAAUUUCAUCUUGCCAAACAUAACAUUGGAGUCUAUUGUUGAGGAUUUAUUCAACAUAUUCACGAUCAGGGGACAGAAGAAAACGCGAACAUUAAAAGUCGUAUAGGUUAAAAAAAAUAAACAUAAGACAUCUUAACUUUGGUGGCACCUACAAGAAAUUCAAACCAUGUUCUCUUUUCUAUUGAGGUAAAAGAGAAUUUAUCCAUUUCGUGAAAUCAUUUCUAGGUACGCGAAAGGGUGUACAAAAAGGCAAUUACACUACUAUUUUACAUCACUAAAGAACGUAAAUUUAGGGGACGAUUUAGACUACUUUAAUUGCAAUUAACGUGCUAGAAUUCACUUAAUAAUACAAGAAAAAACCAUAGAGUUAAGCAACGUAAUUCGAAUGAAAAGAAUGUUUACCUUUUUUACUAAUCUAAUAUAUAUAAUUUGCAGAAAAAAGCAAAACACGUUAUAAUUAUUAUGGAAAUGAGCAUUUUGCCAUACCUCUAUUAAGCAAGAAUGAAGAUAAGUAUUCCCUGUUCAAUUAUGAUCAGCCUGCAGAAGCUUUGGAGAACCAGCUGAUACUCCUACUUCAGAUGGAUCCAUUCUUUGCAAAUUCCCAAUACAAAAAUCACAAAAAAGAGAAAAGCAUUCAGUAAAAUUUGUGAAAUAUUGAGUAAUCGUAAUACACAAAGAAUCCCUUCAACUCAAACUCCAAAUUUACAUGAAACUCAUAAAAACAACUAGCUGCUUUAGCACAAACAAAAGCCAACAAGAUGGCAUCAGUUAAUGAUACAUGGUUGAUGGUACAUGUUUUUCACCAAAACUUCCAAGCUAGUAUAAUAAAUUGAUAAUAGCACAUUGCAUUCCUUGGUGUAACUUCAUUUGAAAAUACAAAACAGCAUUUAUAAUACAAGGUCGGAUCUUCAAGCAACAGAAGUAAAAACAUUCAAGUUUAUUGGACCGAGAAAAAUGUAACUCAAGUCAAACAGAAGGGCGAACAUCUUGUAAUAAGUUCAUUGAAAAUAAGGCUCUAAACUGUAACCGCUUGUGCACUCAGACUUGGAAUCUCUCGAAAGUGCAUCGUAUUUUGUGCCUUUCUUUUAUAGUCUUUUACAAUAAACCAACACGGAACUAAAAGAAAAUAGAAAAUAUGCACACACGGAGACAAACACACAAAGAAAAUUCUUUCUUUUUUGUUUUCUUUUUUACUUUCAAAGCUAAUAACAAAAAGUUUUGUUUACUUUAAUCAGAGAAGAACACAAUGUUCUAUCUUCUUCUGCUUAACAAUAACACCUAUGCGAACCUACACUCUUCCAGAAAAACAUUAACCUAAUAAAUCCCAAAAGCAAAAGGUCAAUAGAAAAGAAAUGUUAAAAGUUGUUAAAAAAAGAGUUAUACCCAUCUUCAAGCACAGAAGUUGGAGAGUCUGAUAGGAACUCGUUCUUUUCAUUUUCAGGAACCAUUCUCAAACCCUAAUCAGAAAAAUUCAAAUCCCACAAUAAAGAAAAACAAAAAACAACCCGAACCAGGCAUCUCCAUUGUCAACAUAUACAAGAAACCCCCAAAAAAAAAAAUCAAUGAAUCACAACUUCACAAACCCAACCUCCGAUGUUGAUUGAAAAGAAUUUAGGCCCCGUUUGAUUACACGAAAUUUUCCAUGGAACUUGGAAUUUGAAUUCCAACUUCCACUUUUGGCCUGUUUGAUUGACAAAAUUUUUCAGGGAAUUGAUUUUCCAUGAAUUUCUAGGUACAACACCUUAAAGUGUGAUUUUCCAUCUUUUUUUUUUCUAGAGGAUAGGUGGUUUUUGGUUUUCCACCUUAUUUUUAUUUUUAUUUUUUUGCUUUUUUUUAAUUGUUGGCAAUGGGAACAAAUUUUAAGAAUAAUUAUAAAAGAGAAUAUCCCUGAAAUUGACAAUUUUCACGUAAAACAAAGUCAAACGAAUAUCAAAAAAUACUUUUACUUCAACAUUUUCCACGUGAAAAAUUUAUACAAUCAAACACAAUAAUUUACAAUUUCCAUGAAAACAAUUUCUAGAUAAUUCAAUUCCCUGGAAUUCAUUUUCUUUCCAUGUAAUUUUCCUACUUGUAAUCAAACGCACCCUUAGAGAUGGACAUAAAUCUUUUCGCCCAUCCGAAGUGUUGGAAAUGAAGCAAUUUUCCCCCCUAUCAUCAAAAGCAAUCUUCA